UUCCGGUUGAUCCUGCCGGACCCGACUGCUAUUUGGGUGAGAAUAAGCCAUGCGAGUCGAAUGGGAUACCUAAAUUUCCCAUGGCAAACUGCUCAUUAACACAUGAUCAACUUACCCUAUAGAGAAAAAUAACCUCGGGAAACUGAGGAUAAUAUUUCGUAGUUGAAUAGGCUUGGAAAAGUUUUUCAAUAAAAGGGAUAAAAAAAAUGGUUUUUAUCUGCUAUAGGAUAGGAUCGUGGACGAUUAUGGUUGUUGGUGAGGUAACGGCUCACCAAGCCGAUAAUCGAUAGGGGCCGUGAGAGCGGGAGCCCCGAGAUGGGUACUGAGACAACGACCCAGGCCUUACGAGGCGCAGCAGGCGCGGAACCUCCGCAAUACACGAAAGUGUGACGGGGUUACCCAAAGUGUUCAAUUCUGAACUGUGGUAGGUGAGUAAUGUUCCCUACUAGAAAGGAGAGGGCAAGGCUGGUGCCAGCCGCCGCGGUAAAACCAGCUCUUCAAGUGGUCGGGAUAAUUAUUGGGCUUAAAGUGUCCGUAGCCGGUUUAGUAAGUUCCUGGUAAAAUCGGGUAGCUUAACUAUCCGUAUGCUAGGAAUACUGCUAUACUAGAGGGCGGGAGAGGUUUGAGGUACUACAGGGGUAGGGGUGAAAUCUUAUAAUCCUUGUAGGACCACCAGUGGCGAAGGCGUCAGACUGGAACGCGCCUGACGGUGAGGGACGAAAGCCAGGGGAGCGAACCGGAUUAGAUACCCGGGUAGUCCUGGCCGUAAACGAUGCAUACUAGUGAUGGUACGGCCAUGAGCCGUAUCAGUGCCGUAGGGAAACCGUUAAGUGUGCCGCCUGGGAAGUACGGUCGCAAGGCUAAAACUUUAAGGAAUUGGCGGGGGAGCACCCACAAGGGGUGAAGCCUGCGUUCAUUGACUCAACGCG
This 929-nucleotide ribosomal RNA is filed under the name uncultured archaeon. RNAcentral's name for it is "bacterial SSU rRNA". It matches the Rfam family "Archaeal small subunit ribosomal RNA", at positions 1 to 919 of the family's 1478-position model. The record is from RNAcentral.